Molecule: long non-coding RNA, 95 nt
Organism: Thalassophryne amazonica
Lineage: Eukaryota; Metazoa; Chordata; Actinopteri; Batrachoidiformes; Batrachoididae
Exons: 3
Source: RefSeq, a predicted model, not a curated record
UUUUUGAUAGAUUUACCCAAAAUAACUGGUCUGAAAAGAGGGAAAGUACGCACUUGAGAUGUCGCAAUAUUUCAAAAUGUGAAGUCACUGGAUAU